GUGUGUGUGCGUGUGCGUACUUGUGUGCUGCAUUAUAACCAAUAAGGAAUACGCUUCUGGUAUGUAAUAGAUGUGUAUGGUGAACAUCACCAAUGGCUUCAAGGUUAUCAGGUGAAACUGCUACAGUAAUGAUGUAUGGGAGGCAACCUUUGUUGUAUCACAUAAAUGUUUUUAGCUUUUUCUAUCAAGUGAAAUUUCAAUUUCACAA
Molecule: long non-coding RNA, 208 nt
Organism: Myripristis murdjan (pinecone soldierfish)
Lineage: Eukaryota; Metazoa; Chordata; Actinopteri; Holocentriformes; Holocentridae
Exons: 3
Source: RefSeq, a predicted model, not a curated record